RNAcentral lists this long non-coding RNA (568 nucleotides) under Mytilus galloprovincialis (Mediterranean mussel). The record is from RNAcentral. Lineage: Eukaryota; Metazoa; Mollusca; Bivalvia; Mytilida; Mytilidae.
AUUUAUUUCAGUAUAUAUCAUAAUUAAUAGGGAAAUUCAACAGUUAAGAGUUAAACAAUUAUUUAACCUAACUACAUGUAAAAUAUUUAUACAAAAUGUCCAUAAAACACUUCACAUUAUACCCUGGAAGUUAAUCAAUAUCAACAAAUUUUGAUUACAUUUUGGAAAGCUUUUAUCACAACUCAUUGUUUGAAAUCCUUUAAACAUGCUGAAAUUUCUUGCCUGUUUACUUCAUUGAAUACGCCAUACAUCAAAUAUAGUUCACCAAUAGCUUAAAGUAUCUGAGAAACAGGCCUUACUAAAGUAAUAGAACUUUGACCAAUGAACCAUAAAAAUAAGGUCAAUGUCAGAUAAACACUGCUAUGUUUACCAUACAAACAAUAUUUCUUUCAGUUUGGAAUAACAGACAAAACCAUGAAAACUUAGAAUUGACCAAUUAACCAUAAACAUUAUGUCAAGAUCAGAUAGAAUUGACCAAUUAACCAUAAAAAUUAUGUCAAGAUCAGAUAGAAUUGACCAAUUAACCAUAAAAAUUAUGUCAAGAUCAGAUAGAAUUGACCAAUUAAAA